Molecule: long non-coding RNA, 673 nt
Organism: Dama dama (fallow deer)
Lineage: Eukaryota; Metazoa; Chordata; Mammalia; Artiodactyla; Cervidae
Exons: 3
Source: RefSeq, a predicted model, not a curated record
GCGUUCCCUUCCCUCACCUGGCGGGCCCGGGUUCACUUGUCCUCUCCAUCCGGGUGGGUCCGGGCGCCAGCUCCUCCUCCUCGAGGUGAGUGGCGGCCCCAGGCUGCUUCUGAGUGGCUCCUACCUUGCUCAGGUACUUCUUCCCUUCCGCUUUCUAUGUGACCGGAGUGCCUGGGCCAGUCUUGCCCGAAAUCACAGAAGCUGCAGCUUCUAGCACAAAGUUCCACUGAGGGAUUGCAUCGUGCGUCCUGGAGCCUUGAAGAUUACAGAUUAUUUCCCUGACUGGAAAAAAAAAAAAAAAAGCCUAAUCCAAAGUUCCAAAAGACCUAGCUGCUAUCCACAGUCAAGGACGUUACGACUUUUGGCCUAAGGUGAACUACAAGGAUUUGUAGGACUUAGUGCAAAGAAAACCCAAGUUAGUUCUGAACAUUGCUUGGGAUUCCAGCUUUUAUAUCUAGAAUGAAUGCAGUUUGGAAGCUUUAGCUGUUAGAGAAGACUGAGGGAGACCCAGCUGACUUGAAUUCCACUUCCCUCACUCCUGAUCAUCUUCAAGAGAGGAAAUCCCAGCAUUGUCCACAAGUUCCUGUAGUAUGAUCCAGUCUCCACUACACCUGUCCUUCCAUGAGAUAAAAGAAUAAACAGUUCUUUGUAUGGUUUCGAUGGGUUCCAUCCA